This 99-nucleotide non-coding RNA is filed under the name Laceyella tengchongensis. The record is from RNAcentral. Lineage: Bacteria; Bacillati; Bacillota; Bacilli; Caryophanales; Thermoactinomycetaceae.
GAGAGCCGGAUACCUUGAGAGGGGUAUGUCCGGUUCGGGAAGGGGCUUUCAGGAAACCUGCCGCUUUUACGCGGUAAGGCGCCGGGAGCCUACUUCAAC